RNAcentral lists this ribosomal RNA (441 nucleotides) under uncultured bacterium. Its description in RNAcentral is "partial 16S ribosomal RNA". It matches the Rfam family "Bacterial small subunit ribosomal RNA", at positions 338 to 795 of the family's 1533-position model. The record is from RNAcentral.
CCUACGGGUGGCAGCAGUGGGGAAUAUUGCACAAUGGGGGCAACCCUGAUGCAGCGACGCCGCGUGAGUGAAGAAGUAUUUCGGUUUGUAAAGCUCUAUCAUCAGGGACGAAAUAAGACGGUACCCGACUAAUAAGCCCCGGCUAACUACGUGCCAGCAGCCGCGGUAAUACGUAGGGGGCAAGCGUUAUCCGGUGUUACUGGGUGUAAAGGGCGCGUAGGCGGGGCUGCAAGCCGGAAGUGAAAGGCAGGGGCUUAACCCCUUAACUGCUUUGGAAACUGCCAUGCUUGAGUGAUGGAGAGGCAAGUGGAAUUCCAAGUGUAGCGGUGAAAUGCGUAGAUAUUAGGAGGAACACCAGUGGCGAAGGCGGCUUACUGGACAGUAACUGACGUUGAGGCUCGAAAGCGUGGGGAGCAAACAGGAUUAGAUACCCCAGUAGUC